RNAcentral lists this long non-coding RNA (2714 nucleotides) under Triticum aestivum (bread wheat). RNAcentral's name for it is "long non-coding RNA (TAES_LNC007729)". The record is from RNAcentral. Lineage: Eukaryota; Viridiplantae; Streptophyta; Magnoliopsida; Poales; Poaceae.
AGACAAAUUAAAAAUAUCAAAGGUAUUUAUUAUGAAUAUACAAGAGUGCGGGAUACAUAUGCAUUACAAUAAAUAAAUACCAAUGUUAUUGGUGCAACAACAUAUCAUUCGUAUCAAUUUGACUAUAAGAACACGCCUAUGAAGAAUAUUACAUCAUAGCAUUUACAUCAAUUCGACCAAAGAAAAAGGUCUUGUGAAUGGCAUUACAUUUUUCAAUCUAUAAAUGUAAACUAUGGUUAUUGCUAAGUAAAAUCUUCUAGUUUUAUAUGCUUCAUCCAAUCGGAGAACUCAGCUGCAACUCAAUUAUCCUUCUUUUGGAUCUGUAAAAGAAAACUGGACCUUAGAGUUAUGUGAUUAAAUGUACACAAAUAUAAUUUUAGAAUCUGGAAGAAAAGACUUCAACUUACAAAAGCUCAAGGCCAUGCAAUUAAGUAUCCUAAAGCAAAAGCAACAACAAUUCUCUUGCAAUCAUAAACUUACCUUACUAACUCCUCGUUAUCCGGAAUAGGCUCAUCCAUGCACACAAGUGCAAAUUCGGGACUUAAGUCAAUAGCACCAACCUUAGUUUCUAGAUCACCACUCCAAAUAGUAGCAUAUGCAACAUUACAUUUGUUUGAAUAUGUUAAAUUCUUUAAAACUACUCUCUCUGUAAAGAAAUAUAAGAGCGUUUAGAUCACUAAUUCAACGCUCUUAUAUUUCUUUACACAGGGAGUACUUUGGAACUAACCUAUAUUAUGAUCAAUAUUAUCAUUCAACGGCAAUGACAAAAGAAUUUGCAUGAACAAUGUGUCAAUGGUGCACAUGGUCAUAGUUCAAGAAAAUUGUGAUGACCAUUCAGUUCGCUAGGUAUACACAUUCAAGUGGCAAGUGGGACUAAUAGAGGGAUGCCCACAUUGCACUCAUGUGUUAAGCGGGUGUUCGUGGGCAGCCGGCAAUAAACUUGUUGUCUUUGCUUGCCCACAUAAUGCCAUUUAAUACCACAUAGUAAUAAAAUGAUCCGCUAUUGUAAUAAAGAGUAUAAUAGUCAACACGCGGCAGAUGUGUGGUAAGUAACCACAAAAAAAAUGAGUUCGGACAAUUCUACUUAGCUCUUGUACAAAUCAAUACUAACUUAUUGUAUUUGGACAUUAGUUGAACACGGCAACACAAACAACUAUCAAUCAGGUCACUACAUGAGCAAGCACAUGCAAAGUGGCCCCCGGUGCAAAAAUUUCAGAGUGGCAAAGCAUAAGCAUACUAUUGACAAAUCAGGAGCAGAGCAUCUGCGUAGUGUUGUGUGUGUGUGCUUGUUGUUGUGUUGGGCAUGUGUGUGUGUAUGUGCUUUCUAGUACCUAACCAAAGUACUCGCAAGAUGUUUUCUAACAGCAGACAUUUCCAUGGCAAAGUUAUAAAGAAUAUAAACAUUCUAUGUGAAUUAUCAAUGAGCGCGUCCAUAUGACUACAUAAACAAAUACCUGGAACCAGUAGCCAUCAUUACAGUGGCUUUAAGCAACAUGGAACUGAAUGCAUAAACCCUUGAGGUGUCGACACUAACCAUGCUCCCCACAAACAUUUUGUAAGAGUAAAAUGAUAAAUAACUUAAGAUGGAAAUAGAUGUACAGCCAAGAGCUACAGACUAUAAGCACGCAGUGAAACAUAUAUUCAACAAAUUUGGAAUUAAAUGUAUAACCUUUUUUGCGCAUAAUGUAACCAGGGUGGAUACUUGGUGAAAGGUGAUGGAGUCUUACAUUUACCUAAAUAAAAAGGUAACCCUGAUGGGUACUUGGUAAAAAGUGAUGCUAUCACCCAUUGGAUUAUAUCAAACUAGCAUAUGAGAUUGAGACACAAGAAAUAUAAUAAUUAAAGUGAAAUAAACAGACAAGCUUCUACUGUAUUAUCAUACUGAUAAUUGGGAUAUACUACACUAAAAUAAUCAUACAUUACUAGAACCCUUACCAUGAAAAGCACUAUGUAUUACACCUACAUUCCCUGUCAGUAAAGUACAUGUCCGUGUUGCUCUUCACAAUUUCUACUACCCAAUUUGACACUCGGUAGACAUAUUUAGCUGAAUUAAAAAAUCGCACAAGUAUUCGGGUAUGUAUGUAUAUGUGCCAGUUUGAGACUGUGCGAGUAUGUAUGGAUAUGUGAUGGGUAUUCGGGUAUGUACAUCUCGACCAUGGGCAGGAACACGUACGUACUAUUAUUAUUAGCAGGAGAAUCAAUUAGCAGCGGGCAUGUACCCUCAAUGUCGUCCUCGCAUCUUGCUCCUCUUGGCACUAGUACACAAACAAGCAAGCAGCCUGCUGGAUGGAUUAUUGUGGAAGGUAGCUUACAUAUGGAUGGAUUCCUCGUGGAUGAUAGCAGAUGACGAGGACCGGUGGCUCCUAGGGCGGGAGGUGCGCAUGGUCCAUGCGCUAGUUCUGCUCAAGCCGCUUCAAUUCUUCAUGGCCGCCCGGAGGAAGGGAUGGCUAGCUGCCGACGGCCCCGGCUAGAUCUGCCCAGGACUCCGGCGGCUGCGCGCUCCUCAUGGCCGCCUCCUCGGGCCUCCUCGAGCCUGGUGGGGAGGAGGGAACGACCCUGGGGCCGAGGGUUGCGUUGGCGACCUACAGAGAAAGGGGCGAGCGGCGACUGCGGCAUGAGGCCUUCAGGCGACUUGCGGCGGCGGCUUGCGGCGUGGUAUGCGGUGGCUUCGAUGGGUAGGCUGCGUGUGAAGGGAUAAGGAGAGAGAGGAGAUA